CCUCGCCAAUUGCUGUUGUCGGGCAGUCUGGUGCCAGCAGCCGCGGUAAUUCCAGCUCCAAUAGCGUAUAUUAAAAUUGUUGCAGUUAAAAAGCUCGUAGUUGAAUUUCUGCUGCAUUGCUUUUGCUCCUUUACGAGUCUUUGCAUUGUGGCUUAUUUCGGACUUUGUUUUACAAUGUCCGGAUGUUUACUUUGAGAAAAUUAGAGUGCUCAAAGCAGGCUUUCGCCUUGAAUAGUUUAGCAUGGAAUAAUAAAGUAGGACUUUGGUUCUAUUUUGUUGGUUUUAGGUACCAAAGUAAUGGUUAAUAGGAACAGUUGGGGGCAUUCGUAUUUAACUGUCAGAGGUGAAAUUCUUAGAUUUGUUAAAGACGAACUACUGCGAAAGCAUUUGCCAAGGAUGUUUUCAUUAAUCAAGAACGAAAGUUAGGGGAUCGAAGACGAUCAGAUACCGUCGUAGUCCUAACCAUAAACUAUGCCGACUAGAGAUUGGAGGUCGUCAGUUUUUACGACUCCUUCAGCACCUUGAGAGAAAUCAAAGUCUUUGGA
This 545-nucleotide ribosomal RNA is filed under the name Theileria ovis. RNAcentral describes it as "SSU rRNA". It matches the Rfam family "Eukaryotic small subunit ribosomal RNA", at positions 533 to 1111 of the family's 1831-position model. Lineage: Eukaryota; Apicomplexa; Aconoidasida; Piroplasmida; Theileriidae. The record is from RNAcentral.